Molecule: ribosomal RNA, 158 nt
Filed under: Hodophilus aff. foetens PBM3375
Lineage: Eukaryota; Fungi; Basidiomycota; Agaricomycetes; Agaricales; Clavariaceae
Description: 5.8S ribosomal RNA
Rfam family: 5.8S ribosomal RNA
About the family: 5.8S ribosomal RNA (5.8S rRNA) is a component of the large subunit of the eukaryotic ribosome. It is transcribed by RNA polymerase I as part of the 45S precursor that also contains 18S and 28S rRNA.
Source: RNAcentral
CAACUUUCAACAAUGGAUCUCUUGGUUCUCGCAUCGAUGAAGAACGCAGCGAAUUGCGAUAUGUAAUGUGAAUUGCAGAAUUCAGUGAAUCAUCGAAUCUUUGAACGCACAUUGCACCCUCUGGUAUUCUGGAGGGUAUGCCUGUUUGAGUGUCAUUA